UGAGGAAUAUUGCGCAAUGGAGGAAACUCUGACGCAGCCAUACCGCGUGUAGGAAGAAUGUCCUAUGGAUUGUAAACUACUUUUAUACAAGAAGAAACCCCAGUACGUGUACUGGGCUGACGGUAUUGUAAGAAUAAGCACCGGCUAACUCCGUGCCAGCAGCCGCGGUAAUACGGAGGGUGCAAGCGUUAUCCGGAUUUAUUGGGUUUAAAGGGUCCGCAGGCGGGAUUCUAAGUCAGUGGUGAAAGCCUACAGCUUAACUGUAGAACUGCCAUUGAUACUGGAAUUCUUGAGUGUGGUUGAAGUAGACGGAAUAUGUCAUGUAGCGGUGAAAUGCAUAGAUAUGACAUAGAACACCAAUUGCGUAGGCAGUUUACUAAACCAUUACUGACGCUCAUGGACGAAAGUGUGGGGAGCGAACAGG
RNAcentral lists this ribosomal RNA (424 nucleotides) under uncultured bacterium. Its description in RNAcentral is "bacterial SSU rRNA". It matches the Rfam family "Bacterial small subunit ribosomal RNA", at positions 355 to 776 of the family's 1533-position model. The record is from RNAcentral.